This 659-nucleotide ribosomal RNA is filed under the name Lacticaseibacillus paracasei. RNAcentral describes it as "bacterial SSU rRNA". It matches the Rfam family "Bacterial small subunit ribosomal RNA", at positions 683 to 1340 of the family's 1533-position model. Lineage: Bacteria; Bacillati; Bacillota; Bacilli; Lactobacillales; Lactobacillaceae. The record is from RNAcentral.
GACAUACGUGGAUAUAUGGAAGACCACCAGUGGGGAAGACGUCUGUUUGGUCUGUAACUGACUCUGUGGCUCGAAAUCAUGGGUAGCGAACACGAUUAGAUACCCUGUUAGUCCAUCCCGUAAACGAUGAAUGCUAGGUGUUGCAGGGUUUCCUCUCUUUCAGUGCCGCAGAUAACGCAUUAAGCAUUCCGUCCCGGGGAGUACGACCGCAAGAUUGAAGCUCAAAGAAUUAGACGGGGGGCCGCACAAGCGGUGGAGCAUGUGGUUUUAUUUGAAGCAACUCGAAGACCCUUACCGGGUCUAGACAUCUUUGGAUCCCCCGCGAGACCAGGUUUCCCCUUCGAGGGCAAAACGACACGUGGUGCAUGGUUUUCGUCAGAUCGUGUCGGGAGAUGUAGGGUUUAGUCCCGCAGCGAGCGCAACCCUUAUGACUAGUUGCCAGCAUUUAGUUGGGCACUCUAGUAAGACUGCCGGUGACAAACCGGCGGAAGACGGUGAUGACAUCAGAUCAUCAAUCUCAUUAUGACCUGGGCUAAACUCGUGCUACAAUGGAUGGUACAACGAGUUGCGAGACCGCGAGGUCAAGCUAAUCUCUUAAAGCCAUUCUCAGUUCGGACUGUAGGCUGCAACUCGCCUACACGAAGUCGGAAUCGCUAGUA